RNAcentral lists this ribosomal RNA (231 nucleotides) under uncultured bacterium. Its description in RNAcentral is "partial 16S ribosomal RNA". It matches the Rfam family "Bacterial small subunit ribosomal RNA", at positions 103 to 334 of the family's 1533-position model. The record is from RNAcentral.
CGGGUGAGUAACACGUAUCCAACCUGCCGUCUACUCUUGGACAGCCUUCUGAAAGGAAGAUUAAUACAAGAUGGCAUCAUGAGUUCACAUGUUCACAUGAUUAAAGGUAUUCCGGUAGACGAUGGGGAUGCGUUCCAUUAGAUAGUAGGCGGGGUAACGGCCCACCUAGUCUUCGAUGGAUAGGGGUUCUGAGAGGAAGGUCCCCCACAUUGGAACUGAGACACGGUCCAG